AUUGAACGCUGGCGGCAUGCCUUACACAUGCCAGUCGAACGGCAGCAUGAUCUAGCUUGCUAGAUUGAUGGCGAGUGGCGAACGGGUGAGUAAUACAUCGGAACGUGCCCUGUAGUGGGGGAUAACUAGUCGAAAGAUUAGCUAAUACCGCAUACGACCUGAGGGUGAAAGUGGGGGACCGCAAGGCCUCAUGCUAUAGGAGCGGCCGAUGUCUGAUUAGCUAGUUGGUGGGGUAAAGGCCCACCAAGGCGACGAUCAGUAGCUGGUCUGAGAGGACGAUCAGCCACACUGGGGCUGAGACACGGCCCAGACUCCUACGGGAGGCAGCAGUGGGGAAUUUUGGACAAUGGGGGCAACCCUGAUCCAGCAAUGCCGCGUGUGUGAAGAAGGCCUUCGGGUUGUAAAGCACUUUUGUCCGGAAAGAAAUCGCACUUACUAAUAUUAGGUGUGGAUGACGGUACCGGAAGAAUAAGGACCGGCUAACUACGUG
RNAcentral lists this ribosomal RNA (490 nucleotides) under uncultured bacterium. RNAcentral describes it as "partial 16S ribosomal RNA". It matches the Rfam family "Bacterial small subunit ribosomal RNA", at positions 30 to 507 of the family's 1533-position model. The record is from RNAcentral.